Molecule: ribosomal RNA, 228 nt
Filed under: uncultured bacterium
Lineage: Bacteria
Description: partial 16S ribosomal RNA
Rfam family: Bacterial small subunit ribosomal RNA
Source: RNAcentral
ACGGUGAGUAAUACAUCGGAACGUGUCUUCUAGUGGGGGAUAACUGCCCGAAAGGGCAGCUAAUACCGCAUGAGACCUGAGGGUGAAAGCGGGGGACCGCAAGACCUCGCGCUGGAAGAGCGGCCGAUGUCCGAUUAGCUAGUUGGUGAGGUAAAGGCUCACCAAGGCGACGAUCGGUAGCUGGUCUGAGAGGACGACCAGCCACACUGGGACUGAGACACGGCCCAG